AAAAUGUUCUAUUGCACCCAUCACCCUGUUCUGAAGGCCUGGUAAUCAGUGUUAUCCACAAUAUAUUCAAAGGAACGCUCUGGAAGAAAGGGCAUGUGACACAGGGCUGAGGAGUCGGCGAGUCCCUAUCUGCAUGGAGUUAUCAUGGCUUUCACAGGUCAUCCCUGAGAGCUCACCAGAAUAUUUUGAAUUUCUAGUUUUGUCUCACACUAUAGGACACACACCACAUGUUUUCAAAAUAACUUUGAGUUCAAAAGAGUUCCCUAAGAUAACACUGUAUAACCCCAGCACAGAAUUAAUGGUUUUGAAGACUGUUUUCUGUGAAGGUAGCAGAGGCUGACUUCAGUAAUCCUGGCCCUCCGGAGUGCUCACAACAGUAUCAUGAGGCAAGAAUGCCUGGAGAGGGAGACGUCACAGAUCUAAGAAUGGCAGCGGAGGGCGCCAUGUUUGGUCUCCUUGGGAGAAUUGGUCUGAAUCCCCUGAUCUCACCACCACUUAUUGUGAAA
Molecule: long non-coding RNA, 506 nt
Filed under: Homo sapiens (human)
Lineage: Eukaryota; Metazoa; Chordata; Mammalia; Primates; Hominidae
Description: long non-coding RNA NONHSAT158534
Source: RNAcentral